GAAUCUUCCACAAUGGACGAAAGUCUGAUGGAGCAAUGCCGCGUUAGCGAAGAAGGUUUUCGGAUCUUAAAGCCCUGUUGUCAGGGAAGAACACGUACGGGAUUAACUGCCCGUACCUUUACGGUCCCUUAUUAUAAAUCCACGGCUAACUCUGUGCCAGCAGCCGCGGUAAUACGUAGGUGGCAAGCGUUGUCCGGAAUUAUUGGGCGGAAAGCGCGCGCAGGCGGUCCUUUAAGUCUGAUGUGAAAGCCCACGGCUCAACCGUGGAGGGCCAUUGGAAACUGGGGGACUUGAGUACAGAAGAGGAAAGCGGAAUUCCACGUGUAGCGGUGAAAUGCGUAGAGAUGUGGAGGAACACCAGUGGCGAAGGCGGCUUUCUGGUCUGUAACUGACGCUGAGGCGCGAAAGCGUGGGGAGCAAACA
Molecule: ribosomal RNA, 423 nt
Filed under: uncultured bacterium
Lineage: Bacteria
Description: partial 16S ribosomal RNA
Rfam family: Bacterial small subunit ribosomal RNA
Source: RNAcentral